This 497-nucleotide ribosomal RNA is filed under the name uncultured bacterium. RNAcentral describes it as "partial 16S ribosomal RNA". It matches the Rfam family "Bacterial small subunit ribosomal RNA", at positions 28 to 507 of the family's 1533-position model. The record is from RNAcentral.
GAUGAACGCUGGCGGCGUGCCUAAUACAUGCAAGUCGAGCGAACGGACGAGAAGCUUGCUUCUCUGAUGUUAGCGGCGGACGGGUGAGUAACACGUGGAUAACCUACCUAUAAGACUGGGAUAACUUCGGGAAGCCGGAGCUAAUACCGGAUAAUAUUUUGAACCGCAUGGUUCAAAAGUGAAAGACGGUCUUGCUGUCACUUAUAGAUGGAUCCGCGCUGCAUUAGCUAGUUGGUAAGGUAACGGCUUACCAAGGCAACGAUGCAUAGCCGACCUGAGAGGGUGAUCGGCCACACUGGAACUGAGACACGGUCCAGACUCCUACGGGAGGCAGCAGUAGGGAAUCUUCCGCAAUGGGCGAAAGCCUGACGGAGCAACGCCGCGUGAGCGAUGAAGGUCUUCGGAUCGUAAAACUCUGUUAUUAGGGAAGAACAUAUGUGUAAGUAACUGUGCACAUCUUGACGGUACCUAAUCAGAAAGCCACGGCUAACUACGUG